Long non-coding RNA from Corythoichthys intestinalis (scribbled pipefish), 5039 nucleotides. RefSeq lists it as uncharacterized. NCBI's taxonomy places the organism in Eukaryota, Metazoa, Chordata, Actinopteri, Syngnathiformes, Syngnathidae. The record is from RefSeq and is a predicted model, not a curated record. The transcript has 8 exons.
AAGAAUAAAUACAAAAAUAAAUAUAUUAAUUAAAAAUAAAUGUCAAUCAAUAAAUAAAAGCGCUUUUCCUUGUAUUUACUUAUUUCUUUGUCAGCACCCACAUGCAAGUAGAAAUGUAAUUCAAAUGAGAAGGCGUUCCUACAUGUGUUGAACUAUUCACCCAUUAGUAGGGAUGGGAAUCGAAAUCCGAUUCCAAUUCGGAACCGGUUCCGAGUGUUUCGAGGCCUCGACAUCACAAUGAAAAAGCCUUAACGAUACCUUUAACAAUUCCUAAAGACGCGUAUUGCGUCGUGACAUGUGUUGUUGUCCAGACGCGUCAAACUAGCAUGGCGCCAAGAACCACUCACCUCCGUGAAGUUGGCCCCCCAUCAGACGCAAAUUUAUAUAAAAAUUAUGUCAAUCGUUUGUGCUAUGAUUGUGCUGGUUUGUGCUGCAAAAAGUUUCGUUUGUGCCAUCAUCGUUUUGCAGUUAUUAAACAUUGUUUUUUAGGUCAUCCAGAGUUCACCCAGCCCCCCAUCUGUGGCGGAAUGGAACCCCGGUGGUGUCAUUUGAUUCUGCCUCGUUAGUGCUGGAUUGUGCUGAAAAAAGUUUUGUUUGAACUGCUACGGUUUUCGAGAUAUUCAUAAAAAUGUAUAGUGAUGACGUCACGCGCAGCCCCCCAUCAGACGCAAAUUUAUAUAAAAAUUAUGUCAAUCGUUUGUGCUAUGAUUGUGCUGGUUUGUGCUGCAAAAAGUUUCGUUUGUGCCAUCAUCGUUUUGCAGUUAUUAAACAUUGUUUUUUAGGUCAUCCAGAGUUCACCCAGCCCCCCAUCUGUGGCGGAAUGGAACCCCGGUGGUGUCAUUUGAUUCUGCCUCGUUAGUGCUGGAUUGUGCUGAAAAAAGUUUUGUUUGAACUGCUACGGUUUUCGAGAUAUUCAUAAAAAUGUAUAGUGAUGACGUCACGCGCAGCCCCCCAUCAGACGCAAAUUUAUAUAAAAAUUAUGUCAAUCGUUUGUGCUAUGAUUGUGCUGGUUUGUGCUGCAAAAAGUUUCGUUUGUGCCAUCAUCGUUUUGCAGUUAUUAAACAUUGUUUUUUAGGUCAUCCAGAGUUCACCCAGCCCCCCAUCUGUGGCGGAAUGGAACCCCGGUGGUGUCAUUUGAUUCUGCCUCGUUAGUGCUGGAUUGUGCUGAAAAAAGUUUUGUUUGAACUGCUACGGUUUUCGAGAUAUUCAUAAAAAUGUAUAGUGAUGACGUCACGCGCAGCCCCCCAUCUGCGGCGGAAUGGAACGGCGAUGAUGCCAUUUUUUUCUUCGUCGUUAGUGCUGGUUUGUGCUGAAAAAAGUUUUGUUUGAACUGCUACGGUUUUCGAGAUAUUCAUAAAAAUGUAUAGUGAUGACGUCACGCGCAGCCCCCCAUCUGCGGCGGAAUGGAACGGCGAUGAUGCCAUUUUUUUCUUCGUCGUUAGUGCUGGUUUGUGCUGAAAAAAGUUUUGUUUGAACUGCCACGGUUUUUGAGAUAUUCAUAAUAACGUGUAGUGAUGACGUCACGCGCAGCCCCCCAUCUGCGGCGGAAUGGAACGGCGAUGAUGCCAUUUCUUUCUUCGUCGUUAGUGCUGGAUUAUGCUGCAAAAAGUUUCGUUUGUGCCAUCAUCCUUUUGCAGUUAUUAAACAUUGUUUUUUUUUUUUGUAAUGAAGACGGUGCUCAACUUUUUUUUUCGGUCAUCAAGAGUUCAAUUGACCCACCCCCUCCACUCCUACUUUACCCGGAAAUGUUAUCUUUCAUUUGUCCCGUUAAAAACUAUAAUUUUUGGUUUGCACUGCUUCGUUUUAAUAGAUAUUGGUGUCGCAACCACAAACAAAUGUUUUCUUAAUCGAUAUACAUUUUUUAUGCUGUAGUGGUCACGUCACCAACACAUACUCCUGACGCAGCCUUCAUUUGUUUUGGUGCCGUCGCAUAAGGUUUGUCUCGUCCAACUACACACAGUCAAUUGCUUUUGUUGUUUUUUUUUUCAUCACAGGUUUAUAACCUGGAAUUGACUAUAGGUUUUUUUGUUUUCUUAAAAAAAAAAUUCUGCCCAUUUGACAUUCUCAAUAGUCAGGAUAUGCCACUGUUUUGGGGCGAGCUUGCUGCAAAUCGUAACAUUCGGUGAGUACAGUCAGAUUCGUCACAAAAAGAACAUUCUAAUUCCUCCAAAAAUUAAUGCAUGUGCAAUUAAACUGCGGUCACCGCAGUAUUAAAUUGAUGAGUGCCUGUAGAAGAAACUUAAAGAACCAUAUGCAUCGCAACAGUUAAAAGGAAACUUGAAAUAAUAACUUUUAUUUAACAUUUAACAAUUAGUUUUGUUAAAAAAUAUAUAUAUAUAUAUCAAACUAUAUACAUUUUAACAAUUGAACAAUCAACUAUAUACACCAGAUCAAUGUCAAUAUCAAACAUUCACUGCUUAAAACAUAAACUGUAUACACUGUAACAAUUAAACAAUCAACUAUAUACACCAGAUCAAUGUCAAGAUCAAACAUUCACUGCUUAAAACAUAUCAAACUAUAUACACUUUAACAAUUAAACAACUAUAUACACCAGAUCAAUGUCAAUAUUAAACAUUCACUGCUUAAAACAUAAACUAUAUACACUGUAACAAUUAAACAAUCAACUAUAUACACCAGAUCAAUGUCAAUAUCAAACAGUCACUGCUUAGUAUAAAACAAAGCAUGUGGGGUGACCUUUAUGUUAUCUGACUUUGCUUUCACUCCACUUCCAAGGUCAUCGUACAUCUCCCAUGAACAUGCAGCCCUCCUGCAGAAUGCCACAUAAUGUCCAAGAGAAUCCUGGGUCAAGCCUCUUUGAAAUGCUAUGACUGCUCUCAAAGUAAAGGUGUUCUCUUGCAGCACCAGACUGGAGGGAAAUUCCAGCAAGGCAACUUCUGCAGUACUGCUGCCAAAGUCGGUGUCAAUCCACACAAAUGCUCCCAUACUGUAGCUGUGGCAAACAUUCCCUGAACAUAGACCCGCUUCUGUAAUUUUGCCUUGUUUUUCAAAUGCAGAUGUGCAUUGAGAUGUUUUUGGGAUUGACCUGAGGCAGGUGGAGUCGGGAAGGCUGAGUCCUGCUUCAACAGCUGCCUGAAGAUGAGCCAUGCCACAGGAAAACACUUGGAAGAUUUUUCAUGGCUCUUCCAAUCAGAGUGGAAAUGUGGCAAUUUGCAUCUACUUGGAGAGCACCGGAGGUCAGGUGGACAGAUUUGAAGAUUUCUCUCAAUAGUUCUGCUCUCUAUGGAUCCACAUGGAGCCAUUCAGAACAUGGCGAGAGAUAGGAACUCAGCUUCCUUUUUUUGGGUGGAACCACGAGACCUCUCCAAUUUUCAACCUCAUUCUCAUCCAUCUUUUUGUGGGCAGCAGCGUCAGACUCAUUACUGGGAUGACGAGAAAUGAAGCGGUCAACACGAAGAGGCAGGCUCUCGUGCUUGAAAAGCCCAUUUUUUAUGAGGUUGAACUCUGCUUCAACAGCAGCGGAACUUGCAGUGAUGCUGGUGCUUUGGAAGAGAGGGACCAUUAUUCCUGUCCAAAGUGCCUUGGCAAGUGACCUGCUCUCUUCACAUAUUUCUGUCACCCACUGUCUGGCAUCUGUAUGGAUCUGAUGACUAUGCGCAUCCAGUGGUUCUUGUCCCACAACCUCUUCAACUUGGGAGCUGACAAGUUCUUCAGCAAUUUGAGAUUUCAGGCAGUCCCACCGGCAGAUCAUCUUGAUGCAGUGUGCAACAUCUACCCUGACAAAACAUGGGGGCAGCUUUGCAGGUUGAUUGCCAAGCAAUACUUUAAAGCAUUCAUUGAUGUGCUCCAGCAUGAAUCCAUUCCUUUAGCCAUUGUGUGAUCGCACAAACAUCAUGCUUCUCUGACAGCAUCUGCACCACUGGUACACUCGAGCUGUCAUGCCCUGUCAUAACACCUUGAUAAAGGAAGAUGUGGCCAGAAGAGCCAUUCGGUCUCACCAAUUUUUUAACUACUGAGCCAGUAGCAUCAAAACAUACUGUUGGGGUGGCCAAAUUUGGUAGAUGACUCGGCUCAGGAUCUCCAAAGUUCAUCAGUUUCUCUGCCUGUGAUGCCCGCCAUACAUGCGGUUCCAUCCUGCCCUCCACAAGUUCUGUGGCAAUCUGGGAACGCAACUGCCCAGACAUGAACCGCUUUGAGUUGCCAGUGUGCAGGGAGUCAUCACUGUUCUUAAUGUAACAGUUGAGCAUCAUUGGACUGUUGAUUUUGGGCUCUCUGUCACAAUUGAGGUUGAGAAGACCAUGACACUCCUUGCAGUAUCCUCUGAUGUCAAUAUAAUUAUUUGUUGCCAAAGGAUACACCUUAGCUCUUUUAAAAAUAAAGGUGCAAGGACUUUUUACUGCUUUCCAGAUUUGUUCAUUUAUAAUGUGGGUCCAGGUGCCAGGCUUCAAAAUUGUAUAUUUUCUUUUUUGGGUUUGACAGUACUUAUUUCUGUAUACAGCCUCUUCUGGAAUAAAUUUCCUCCACUCAUCAAAAGGCACUUGAAGCUGAAAUGACCUUUCAGGGUAAAGGUCAUCCAAUUCAGAGCUUGUGUCGUCAUCACUUGUUUGAGGAUCAGUUUCAUGAUGACUGAAUCCCAAAGCUGACAAGAUGUUGUGUCUGUCUGUUUUAACAAAGGUGUAAAGAGACUUUGCCGACAUUUUCCCGCCCAGCUCCUUACUAAGUUCCAUCCAAACAGUGGCAUUUGGAGUGGCUAUGUUGCCAGUUUGAAGUAUGGCCUCCUUGAAUGAGCAGAGAACUGCAAAAACUGAGUCCCUGUCUACUGCUGGUUGUUUGGGCAUCUAGUUUAAGGACAAAAGAAAAUAAUUAGGAUUCAUUGCUUCAGUUAUAUUGGCCUUUACCACCAAUUAUAAUGUGCUAUGUGCUAUACUUCUAAACACUUGUUACACUUGAUGAAUGUAACUAUUAAAAUGCAAAAUGAAGAUUAAUAUGGGUCGGCUGCAUUCAUAAAUUAAUAGCAGUAGACCAUGCUCUGCACAUAUAUACUUCUUAUAAAUGUAUAUUUCUUGACUUAUUUGACUUAG